Molecule: ribosomal RNA, 1372 nt
Filed under: uncultured bacterium
Lineage: Bacteria
Description: bacterial SSU rRNA
Rfam family: Bacterial small subunit ribosomal RNA
Source: RNAcentral
GAUGAACGCUGGCGGCGUGCCUAAUACAUGCAAGUCGAGCGAACGGACGAGAAGCUUGCUUCUCUGAUGUUAGCGGCGGACGGGUGAGCAACACGUGGAUAACCUACCUAUAAGACUGGGAUAACUUCGGGAAACCGGAGCUAAUACCGGAUAAUAUUUUGAACCGCAUGGUUCAAAAGUGAAAGACGGUCUUGCUGUCACUUAUAGAUGGAUCCGCGCUGCAUUAGCUAGUUGGUAAGGUAACGGCUUACCAAGGCAACGAUGCAUAGCCGACCUGAGAGGGUGAUCGGCCACACUGGAACUGAGACACGGUCCAGACUCCUACGGGAGGCAGCAGUAGGGAAUCUUCCGCAAUGGGCGAAAGCCUGACGGAGCAACGCCGCGUGAGUGAUGAAGGUCUUCGGAUCGUAAAACUCUGUUAUUAGGGAAGAACAUAUGUGUAAGUAACUGUGCACAUCUUGACGGUACCUAAUCAGAAAGCCACGGCUAACUACGUGCCAGCAGCCGCGGUAAUACGUAGGUGGCAAGCGUUAUCCGGAAUUAUUGGGCGUAAAGCGCGCGUAGGCGGUUUUUUAAGUCUGAUGUGAAAGCCCACGGCUCAACCGUGGAGGGUCAUUGGAAACUGGAAAACUUGAGUGCAGAAGAGGAAAGUGGAAUUCCAUGUGUAGCGGUGAAAUGCGCAGAGAUAUGGAGGAACACCAGUGGCGAAGGCGACUUUCUGGUCUGUAACUGACGCUGAUGUGCGAAAGCGUGGGGAUCAAACAGGAUUAGAUACCCUGGUAGUCCACGCCGUAAACGAUGAGUGCUAAGUGUUAGGGGGUUUCCGCCCCUUAGUGCUGCAGCUAACGCAUUAAGCACUCCGCCUGGGGAGUACGACCGCAAGGUUGAAACUCAAAGGAAUUGACGGGGACCCGCACAAGCGGUGGAGCAUGUGGUUUAAUUCGAAGCAACGCGAAGAACCUUACCAAAUCUUGACAUCCUUUGACAACUCUAGAGAUAGAGCUUUCCCCUUCGGGGGACAAAGUGACAGGUGGUGCAUGGUUGUCGUCAGCUCGUGUCGUGAGAUGUUGGGUUAAGUCCCGCAACGAGCGCAACCCUUAAGCUUAGUUGCCAUCAUUAAGUUGGGCACUCUAAGUUGACUGCCGGUGACAAACCGGAGGAAGGUGGGGAUGACGUCAAAUCAUCAUGCCCCUUAUGAUUUGGGCUACACACGUGCUACAAUGGACAAUACAAAGGGCAGCGAAACCGCGAGGUCAAGCAAAUCCCAUAAAGUUGUUCUCAGUUCGGAUUGUAGUCUGCAACUCGACUACAUGAAGCUGGAAUCGCUAGUAAUCGUAGAUCAGCAUGCUACGGUGAAUACGUUCCCGGGUCU